Molecule: ribosomal RNA, 445 nt
Filed under: uncultured bacterium
Lineage: Bacteria
Description: partial 16S ribosomal RNA
Rfam family: Bacterial small subunit ribosomal RNA
Source: RNAcentral
GUGAGGAAUAUUGGUCAAUGGGCGGGAGCCUGAACCAGCCAAGUCGCGUGAAGGAAGAAGGAUCUAUGGUUCGUAAACUUCUUUUGCAGGGGAAUAAAGUGCAGGACGUGUCCUGUUUUGUAUGUACCCUGAGAAUAAGGAUCGGCUAACUCCGUGCCAGCAGCCGCGGUAAUACGGAGGAUCCGAGCGUUAUCCGGAUGUAUUGGGUUUAAAGGGUGCGUAGGUGGUUUGAUAAGUCAGCGGUGAAAGUUUGCAGCUUAACUGUAAAAAUGCCGUUGAAACUGUCGGACUUGAGUGUAAAUGAGGUAGGCGGAAUGCGUGGUGUAGCGGUGAAAUGCAUAGAUAUCACGCAGAACUCCGAUUGCGAAGGCAGCUUACUAAGCUACAACUGACACUGAAGCACGAAAGCGUGGGGAUCAAACAGGAUUAGAUACCCGAGUAGUCC